GGGAAGGUGGCUCAGUGGUAGAGCGCUUGCCUUGUAUGCAUGAAGCCCUGGGUUCGAUUCCUCACCACCACA
RNAcentral lists this transfer RNA (72 nucleotides) under Dipodomys ordii (Ord's kangaroo rat). It matches the Rfam family "tRNA". Rfam says of the family: Transfer RNA (tRNA) molecules are approximately 80 nucleotides in length. Their secondary structure includes four short double-helical elements and three loops (D, anti-codon, and T loops). The record is from Rfam by way of RNAcentral. Lineage: Eukaryota; Metazoa; Chordata; Mammalia; Rodentia; Heteromyidae.